AUGUAAGGAUUCAAAGGUCGAACAGACCUAAACUUUGAACUUCUACACCCAAAAAUAACCCUUAAUCCAACAUCGAGGUCGCAAUCUUUUUUGUCGAUAUGAACUCUCAAAAAAAAUUACGCUGUUAUCCCUAAGGUAACUUAGUCUUAUAAUCAAUAAUAUUGGAUCAAUAAUUCAAUAAUUUUUGUAAAAAUAAAAAAAAAGAGUUUUAUAAAUCUUCCUGUCACCCCAACAAAAUAUUUAAUUUAAUAAAAUUUAAAAAUUUCUAUAAAUAAAUUAUUAUACAAAUAUAAAGUUCUAUAGGGUCUUCUCGUCCUUUAAUUAUAUUUAAGCCUUUUAACUUAAAAGUUAAAUUAUAAUUUCAUUUAAAUUGAGACAGUUAACACCUCGUUCAAUCAUUCAUUCUAGCCCUCAAUUAAAAGACUAAUUAUUAUGCUACCUUUGCACGGUCAAAAUACCGCGGCCCUUUAAAUCAUCAGUGGGCAGAUUAGACUUUAAAUUAUUUUCUAAAAG
Molecule: ribosomal RNA, 513 nt
Filed under: Panorpa vulgaris
Lineage: Eukaryota; Metazoa; Arthropoda; Insecta; Mecoptera; Panorpidae
Description: partial 16S ribosomal RNA
Source: RNAcentral